CGUCCUCUGCCGUGUUCGACGGCGUGCAAAACAUUCGCCUUGUCCCUUAAAAACGACACCGGGAAUGCGACGACGCCAGGCGUGCAAGUCCGCCCCGUUGCGGAAAGCCCGAAGGCCUCCCAGCGUUCCCACUUGAACCCCGGGUUCAAGGUCGUUUCGCAUGCAUCGGCAUGGCGGAGGAUGC
This 184-nucleotide non-coding RNA is filed under the name Luteimonas gilva. RNAcentral's name for it is "6S / SsrS RNA". It matches the Rfam family "6S / SsrS RNA". From Rfam's summary of the family: E. coli 6S RNA was the first non coding RNA to be sequenced, but its function was unknown until recently. Lineage: Bacteria; Pseudomonadati; Pseudomonadota; Gammaproteobacteria; Lysobacterales; Lysobacteraceae. The record is from Rfam by way of RNAcentral.